This 546-nucleotide long non-coding RNA is filed under the name Gallus gallus (chicken). Lineage: Eukaryota; Metazoa; Chordata; Aves; Galliformes; Phasianidae. The record is from RNAcentral.
CUUGAAUAUGCCUUGCUCAGGGGAGAAGUUUGCCCAAACCGUUACAUAUUAGUGAGUGCACUGUAAUUCUUUCUUUUAAGCAUCUAGCUACUUCUGAAGCUCUCGUUUUGGUUCUCAUUUCAAUAUUCUGUAAUUGAAUACAGAUAUAUGUCUGAAAUAGAGAACUGUGGGAAAAAUAGUACAUAGUACAUUUCAGCGCAACACUGUCAACGAGCAGAGGAAUUUUAAAGAUUUCUCUGAAUGAGAGCAUGAGCACCCUGUCGACAACUAAGAAAGUCUCCUACUGCAUAUGUGUACUACCAAAGAUGAUGCUUAACAUAGAGAAGAACAUGCAUCAGUAAGUGUAGAAAAGUCACAACUGACUGGUCUCUGCAAUGCCGUUACUGCUGCUGCUACAGAGUCCAGGUAAAAUAUUCUGCAUUGACUGAGUUAAGAGAUUACACUAAACCAAGCAAGUUUAGGGAUAUGGCAGAUGUCUUCACUUUUGUUUCCUUUCAUUGCUGAUGAGGAUUACCUUAUGAUUUAACCAACAUCCCGAUUACAAGG